Non-coding RNA from Pelobates cultripes (western spadefoot toad), 256 nucleotides. NCBI's taxonomy places the organism in Eukaryota, Metazoa, Chordata, Amphibia, Anura, Pelobatidae. The record is from the annotation of a GenBank genome assembly.
GUUAGAGUGAGUGUUAGUGUGUGUCUGCUAGUGAGUGUUAGUGUGUGUGUCUGCUAGUGAGUGUCAGUGAGUGUGUUACUGUGUGUGUCUUACUGAGUCUGUUUGAUGUCUGUUAGUGAGUGUGUGUUUGUCAAUGAGAGUGUAUGUUUUGUAAGUGAGAGUGUAUGUAUGUCUGUCGCUGACUGUAUCUCUGUCAGUAAAUGUGUGUGUCUGUUAGCUAGUGUGUAUGCGUCUGUAAGUGAGAGUGUGUGUGUCU